GAUGAACGCUGGCGGCGUGCCUAAUACAUGCAAGUCGAGCGAACAGACGAGGAGCUUGCUCCUCUGACGUUAGCGGCGGACGGGUGAGUAACACGUGGAUAACCUACCUAUAAGACUGGGAUAACUUCGGGAAACCGGAGCUAAUACCGGAUAAUAUAUUGAACCGCAUGGUUCAAUAGUGAAAGACGGUUUUGCUGUCACUUAUAGAUGGAUCCGCGCCGCAUUAGCUAGUUGGUAAGGUAACGGCUUACCAAGGCAACGAUGCGUAGCCGACCUGAGAGGGUGACCGGCCAAACUGGCACUGAGACACGGUCCAGACUCCUAAGGGAGGCAGCAGUAGGAAAUCUUACGCAAUGGGCGGAAGCCUGACGGAGCAACGCAGCGUGAGAGAUGACGGUAUUCGGAUCGUAAAACUCUGUUAUUAGGGAAGAACAAAUGUGUAAGUAACUAUGAACGUCUUGACGGUACCUAAUCAGAAAGCAACGGCUAACUACGUG
RNAcentral lists this ribosomal RNA (497 nucleotides) under uncultured bacterium. RNAcentral describes it as "partial 16S ribosomal RNA". It matches the Rfam family "Bacterial small subunit ribosomal RNA", at positions 28 to 507 of the family's 1533-position model. The record is from RNAcentral.